AGGGAGAGAAAUGCUUCUGGCAGGCCACAUUCCCAGCAUCUGAAAUAUUUGUACAACUUAGUGUCUCCUCUAGAUGACGAGUGUCAGGAAGUGGUGCUGAGUUUGCAGCAGUAUAUACCAUCCCAGAGGAGGCUGUAAAAAGUUCAGUAAGCAGGAGAUGACAGAGUGACCGUGCUGCCUCUGCUCGGGGAGCAGGAGAGCUCUGAUAGGGAUAUAAAUUAUUGGAAGAGUGUUCAUCUCGGGAAUUGCACACAGACAGAGCAGCUCUGAGGAAAUGCAAACUGUCAAAGAUGGUUUGUUUCAGCUGAGGCUUGAAUAACAGCAGAAGCGAAAAGGGGCAAAGCACA
This is a non-coding RNA of Cyanistes caeruleus (blue tit), 347 nucleotides long. Lineage: Eukaryota; Metazoa; Chordata; Aves; Passeriformes; Paridae. The record is from RefSeq and is a predicted model, not a curated record.